Molecule: long non-coding RNA, 1466 nt
Organism: Tympanuchus pallidicinctus (lesser prairie-chicken)
Lineage: Eukaryota; Metazoa; Chordata; Aves; Galliformes; Phasianidae
Exons: 2
Source: RefSeq, a predicted model, not a curated record
CCCCGUGGGAGAGGAGAGGGAAUUGAAUGAAGCAAGUUCCAGUGAAUUUCCCAAAAGCAAAUCUGCAACAGAAUUCAGGUGCCUUGUCUGAUUGGAAAAAAGUCCAAUAGUUUCCAGCAGCACGUGGAGAAGUGCACAGGGGCUUGCUGGAGGUUCUGAUUGACUUGGAUCAAGCAGAGCAUUGGAUUUCUAGCUUUAGGACGUGCUUUACUCAUGCAGUGACCAUUGCUAGUCUCAGAAAGUGCUUGCUGCUGAUAGCACUUACAAAGGUGCUUUGAAACAUUCUCCAACUAACAUAUAGGAUGUCAGCCUGUCCACCACGUGUGCUUAAGCGUGGCAUUUCAAUGCUCACAAAGCACAUUUUCUCACUGGAGAUUAAAUAUUUUUGCAAGUUAAAAGAGCUGCCGUGGGCUGAGUUGUCACCUAAUUAUGUCAGUCUCUUUGUGGAGUAUUUUGAUAAUCAACAUCAGAAGGGGCUCUUUAAUCUUCGUGCUACAUCUAAUCACGUCACGUCCCACAUUUACACGUACAGGGAGCUCUCUGGAUGAGCCCUUGGCUUUGCUGUUGCUCUGAGAGCAGAAUGCAGUGGUGGAAGGAGUCUGAGUGCUCCAUGCUCUUUUUAAACUGGAAUUCUAACAAACAGCUCUUGUUGGUGGUGAGGAGCCUGGGAGAUGAACAGGACUGCAGCCACAGAACGCCGAGGCUUGACGGGAGAAGAAUCUGCUUAGAAUCCCACUAAAAGUGUUGAUAAACACAAAUCAAAUGUAAUAAAAGCUUUUCACAUCCUUCGUUCUCGCAGAGAUUUGACAAAAAUAAAUUCCACAUAAACAAGCGGGUUCCAAAAAUAAAAGCAGUCUUGCAAUGAGGCCAAAAAUGAGAUCGUCUCCGUGCUCCUCCAGCUGCUAAGGGCUGUUACUCCUCUUUGUAUUGCAGCAGUGCUUGGAGAUUUUGGCUUCAAUUGGAACCGCUGGUGGGUGGCAGGUGUCACAAAGAGGUUGCUAAAGUCUGCCUAACUGACCUGGGCUGCAAAAUGUCAGGGCUGAGAGCGGAUCCCAAUUCUGACUCCCACUGUGUUGACUCUUAUGUAUGCAAGUUCUUAGCUGAAUUGAAUGGUUUUGGCUGUAAAGCUGAUCUACAAAGGAAGGUAAGUUACAAUCAGGUCUUUUUUUCUUUCUCUUUUUUUUGUCCCUGCGAGGAGCCCACGAGAUAAGAUGGAAAGCUCAGAAAACAGCUCUUGCGUGACGUGUGGUUGUAUCCCAGCCUGCAGCCCUUCUUCAAAAGCAACAAAGCAGUACUUCAUCAUCAUCUCUCCAGGGAGGAGCAGUGACUAAUGGCAGUAAGGCAGGUACCAAAGGAGAAGCCCAACACCCAGGAAGCUUUACUUCCUUUGGGAAAUCCUGAGAUCAUCCCAGGAUAAGCUCGCUAAUUGUACUGAAAAGCAUUAAUAUUAAAGCAUCCAACACUGA